Molecule: ribosomal RNA, 424 nt
Filed under: Verrucomicrobiota bacterium
Lineage: Bacteria; Pseudomonadati; Verrucomicrobiota
Description: Verrucomicrobia bacterium partial 16S ribosomal RNA
Rfam family: Bacterial small subunit ribosomal RNA
Source: RNAcentral
UGAGGAAUAUUGGUCAAUGGGCGAGAGCCUGAACCAGCCAAGUAGCGUGCAGGAUGACGGCCCUAUGGGUUGUAAACUGCUUUUAUAUGGUAAUAAAGUGAGGGACGUGUCCCUUAUUGCAUGUACCAUACGAAUAAGGACCGGCUAAUUCCGUGCCAGCAGCCGCGGUAAUACGGAAGGUCCAGGCGUUAUCCGGAUUUAUUGGGUUUAAAGGGAGCGUAGGCUGUUUGUUAAGCGUGUUGUGAAAUGUAGGAGCUCAACUUUUAGAUUGCAGCGCGAACUGGCAGACUUGAGUGCGCACAACGUAGGCGGAAUUCAUGGUGUAGCGGUGAAAUGCUUAGAUAUCAUGACGAACUCCGAUUGCGAAGGCAGCUUACGGGAGCGCAACUGACGCUAAAGCUCGAAGGUGCGGGUAUCGAACAGG